Molecule: long non-coding RNA, 426 nt
Filed under: Mytilus galloprovincialis (Mediterranean mussel)
Lineage: Eukaryota; Metazoa; Mollusca; Bivalvia; Mytilida; Mytilidae
Source: RNAcentral
UUAUUUUCUUGAAUUUACAUUAUUUUCCAGCCACUGAAAGAAGAUCGGCGAAGGGAGUCACUCAAAAAUUUCCCCUUAAUUGAUGCAUUUGGAUUUGUUCGGAUAUAAACCACAUCUCCAUGGUUCAAUUCCGCAACAACAAUGCCAGUAGCUGAAUGAUCAUCGCGUACUUCCUCACUUUCGGUAACAAUGCUGCCAAAUGGCACAGAGUUUAUAACUAUUUCAGAAAAAAUAUAGCUAUUGAUGUCUGAUGUUAUUGUCCAUGUGAAUACGUAUGUUCCAUGUUCUGUAGUGCUGAACACUCCAGUAUGUUUGCUAUAAGAUGACCCAAGAUUGGUCCUAACAUCGUCGAAAAUCAGAGUCUGAUGCCGCCCUGGAUUUGCUUCAUGUGUACUCAUGUAAGCAUAGAAAGCUACUGUGUUGACA